This 102-nucleotide small RNA is filed under the name Salmonella enterica. RNAcentral's name for it is "partial RtT sRNA". It matches the Rfam family "RtT RNA", at positions 1 to 100 of the family's 130-position model. Rfam says of the family: This family represents a bacterial cis-regulatory element known as RtT RNA. The exact function of RtT is unknown although it is thought that it may be involved in changing the cellular response in relation to amino acid starvation. Lineage: Bacteria; Pseudomonadati; Pseudomonadota; Gammaproteobacteria; Enterobacterales; Enterobacteriaceae. RNAcentral also lists the same sequence under 3 other names. The record is from RNAcentral.
GUUUGCACUUAUCGGGGAAGGGUGAGAACCUUCGAUUAAGGUUCGACUCGAGCGAAAGCGAGAGAACGUUGCCAACGGCAACGGCCCGUAGGGUGAGGAGCG